This 1506-nucleotide ribosomal RNA is filed under the name Triticum aestivum (bread wheat). RNAcentral's name for it is "partial small subunit ribosomal RNA". The record is from RNAcentral. Lineage: Eukaryota; Viridiplantae; Streptophyta; Magnoliopsida; Poales; Poaceae.
AUGCCGCUGGACGGCGGGGCGGCGGCGGUCAUGUUCCUGGCGUACGCGGCCCUGGCCGUGGCGGCGCUGCGGGCGGUGCUGUCCUACAAGUCGGCGGCGCACGCGGCGCGCCGGCUGUGGCGGUGGGCGGACGAGUGGGCGCAGGCGUACCAGUACUACGAGGUGCCGCGCUUCGCCGCCGCCGGCGGCAACGACGGGGCCGAGAACCCGCUCUUCCGCAAGGCGGCGGCCUACGUGGCGUCGCUGCCGUCGCUCGAGGACGCGGACGCCGCCUGCGUGCUCUCCUCCGCCAGCAAGAGCAACGACUUCUCGCUGCAGCUCGGCCCCGGCCACACCGCGCACGACGCCUUCCUCGGCGCACGCCUCGCGUGGACCAACCGCGGGGAGCGCCUCCUCCUCCGCGUGCGCCGCCAUGACCGCACGCGCGUGCUGCGCCCCUACCUGCAGCACGUCGAGUCCGUCGCCGACGAGAUGGAGCUGCGCCGCCGCGAGCUGCGCCUCUACGCCAACACCGGCGCCGUCGCUCCGCGCUGGGCGUCGGUGCCCUUCACCCACCCGGCCACGCUGGACACGGUGGCCAUGGACCCGGAGCUCAAGACCCGCGUCCGCUCCGACCUGGAGAGCUUCCUCAAGGGCCGCGCCUACUACCACCGGCUGGGCCGCGUCUGGCGCCGGAGCUACCUGCUCUACGGACCCCCCGGCACGGGCAAGUCCACGUUCGCGGCGGCGAUGGCGAGGUUCCUCGGCUACGACGUCUACGACAUCGACCUCUCCCGCGCUGGCACCGACGACCUCCGCGCGCUGCUCCUGGACACGGCCCCGCGGUCGCUCAUCCUCGUGGAGGACCUCGACCGGUACCUGCGCGGCGGCGACGGGGAGACGUCGGCGGCGCGGGCCGCCAGGGUGCUGGGAUUCAUGGACGGGCUGUCGUCGUGCUGCGGCGAGGAGCGCGUGAUGGUGUUCACCAUGAGCGGCGGCAAGGAGGGCGUGGACCCGGCCGUGCUGCGGCCGGGGAGGCUGGACGUGCACAUCCACUUCACCAUGUGCGACUUCGACGGCUUCAAGGCGCUGGCCAGCAACUACCUGGGCCUCAAGGACCACAAGCUGUACCCGCAGGUGGAGGAGGGCUUCCACGCCGGCGCGCGCCUGAGCCCGGCCGAGCUCGGCGAGAUCAUGCUCGCCAACCGCGGGUCCCCGAGCCGCGCGCUCCGCACCGUCAUCAGCGCGCUGCAGCACGUGGUGGCGCCGCGGACGAGCUCCGCGGCGCGGCCGCCCAGGCUGACCUCAAGAUCGUCCGGGCACCUCGAGGAGUCCAGCCCGGCGGCGGCAGAGAGCCAGUCGCCGGGGGGCGGGGGGUUCGGGAAGGACGCGCCGAUGAGGGAGUUCAAGAAGCUGUACGGGCUGAUCAAGAUCAGGAGCCGCAAGGAGGGCGGCGUGGUGCCGGUGGACGACACGGCGUCGGCGAACGGGCGGGGCAGCGACGCCAGCACCGAGAAGGACCGGUGA